UAGGGCCCUUCCUAAGAAGGGACUCUCCACCCUCUACAGUGCCCUGGGCCUCCCUGCUGCCAGGCUGAGCCAGGCCAGGUCCCUGAGAAGCAGCCAUCUGGCUUCAAGGCUCUGCCACAGAACCGAAGCAGCCCUGUUGUGAGGGCACAACUGCCGAGGAAAUGCCCUGGGAGCCCAGGAUAAAUGUACACAGAAGAUGGCACGGCCCUCCCUCCUCCAGGACACAAGCCCAGCUCCUUCAACUAAUCCUGGGGUGGAGAAGCCAAGCACAGGCUGCCGAACCUCCCUGCUGGAGUGUGGAUCUGGAGCGUUCCGUGAAGACUAUGUAUGAAAGGUCUGGGCCCCAGAUGAUGGUGCUUCUGGGAGAUGGAGAUAUCUUUAGGGGCAUGGCCUAGUGGGAGGAGGUUAGGUCAUUGAGGGUGUGCCUUUGGGUGGAGUAAUGGGAUUGCCACUUUUUUCUCUCUCUUUCACUUCUGGCCAACAUGAGGUGAGUGGCUUCCUCCACCACAUGGUCCCACCAUGAUGAACUGCCUUACCACAGCCCAAGGCAACACAGCCAAGUGACCAGGGACUAAAGCCUCUGAAAUACCUGCCCGGGAUAUCAUGACAGGAGCAGAGGAGUUAUUUCCCACGUGAACUUGGAAAUGAGCCUUCCCAGAGAAGGCAGGUGUGGGCUGGCAGACACCAGCCAUUCUCUGUGUCCAGAGAACAAGCAGUCACAACCAGGCUCAGCCCCAAGACUACUUCACGGUGCACAGCUGCAGACUUUGGACCCAUCCGCCAAUGAUGGACCACAGAAUUCAUCUUGUGUUCCUGGUAAUGACAUAAACCCCUAAAGAUCAGCAGCCACAUAUCACACAUAGUAGGCCCUCAACAAACAUGAGGAUUUUCAGAUUAUGUCACAGUGUUUGGAUUCCACUGCUCCUUCUACCCUCUGUUGUUUCUAUGCAACUGUGGGAGAUCUCACCUAUGCCAGGAACCAGGAAUCAGUACCAUCCAAGAGUGGGGGGAUCAUUAAAGUCUGUCUUAGAAAAGCCUGGGGUUCACAUCUUGCUAUUUUCAUAAUUCAGCCCUUCCUCCUCUUGUGUUCACGAGCUAUUUCCCUUACCAAGGUUGCUCUCUGAGAGGCACUCACAGAGGGCAGGGCCAUCCUGGUCCUUUUGGGGAGGGGGUCUAUCAAGGUCACCCUCAGGCCUGAAUGAGGUCAACU
Molecule: long non-coding RNA, 1210 nt
Organism: Heterocephalus glaber (naked mole-rat)
Lineage: Eukaryota; Metazoa; Chordata; Mammalia; Rodentia; Bathyergidae
Source: RefSeq, a predicted model, not a curated record